Molecule: ribosomal RNA, 424 nt
Filed under: uncultured prokaryote
Description: bacterial SSU rRNA
Rfam family: Bacterial small subunit ribosomal RNA
Source: RNAcentral
UGGGGAAUAUUGGACAAUGCGGGAAACCGUGAUCCAGCAAUGCCGCGUGAGUGAUGAAGGCCUUAGGGUUGUAAAGCUCUUUUACCAGGGAUGAUAAUGACAGUACCUGGAGAAUAAGCUCCGGCUAACUCCGUGCCAGCAGCCGCGGUAAUACGGAGGAUGCAAGCGUUAUCCGGAAUUAUUGGGCGUAAAGCGUCCGCAGGCGGCACUAUAAGUCUGCUGUCAAAGACCGCAGCUCAACUGCGGAAAGGCAGUGGAAACUGUAGAGCUAGAGUACGGUAGGGGUAGAGGGAAUUCCCAGUGUAGCGGUGAAAUGCGUAGAGAUUGGGAAGAACACCAGUGGCGAAAGCGCUCUACUGGGCCGUAACUGACGCUCAGGGACGAAAGCUAGGGGAGCGAAAGGGAUUAGAUACCCCCGUAGUCC